UCACAUAGCGUGGUAAACAGCUAGAUGUCUGCUGCUCUGCAGUCAUUUCAAAUGUUCGCUGACUUUUUGUGUGUUCUCCUCUGCCUCUUAGGAAGAUGUUUUUUGCUGGAGAUUCUGUGGAUCUUUUGUGCCUCCGGCUAAUUCUUGCCAUGUUCUGAGGAUCAAGGUAAUUCAAGCCUUAAUGUCUCAGCUGUGAGCCUCCACUCUAUCUCCUUCCUGGACCCAGGUUUCUGGAGCUUCAUUCUCCUGUCUCUGAGAACCAUCCACCUGCCUGUCCACCCUCCCACAGAAAUACGCCUUUUUUAUGGAAAGGAUCAAAAACAAAGAAACACUGAGUAUGAAGAACCUGGAAACCCUUUCCCUUCAACUGCACCCAUCUGCCAACCUCAACCAUCGUGGAACAGAAUUAUUCCUCCCAGGUUUAUCUGACAGUUCUGCCUUUUGAGACCCCAAUCCUGUCGCUGACCCAGUCCUGGUUCCAGAUCACAUUUACUCCUGUAAAACCUAAUAAACUGUUUAAAACGA
This is a long non-coding RNA of Girardinichthys multiradiatus, 525 nucleotides long. RefSeq lists it as uncharacterized. Lineage: Eukaryota; Metazoa; Chordata; Actinopteri; Cyprinodontiformes; Goodeidae. The transcript has 2 exons. The record is from RefSeq and is a predicted model, not a curated record.